This 292-nucleotide ribosomal RNA is filed under the name uncultured bacterium. RNAcentral describes it as "partial 16S ribosomal RNA". It matches the Rfam family "Bacterial small subunit ribosomal RNA", at positions 505 to 796 of the family's 1533-position model. The record is from RNAcentral.
GUGUCAGCAGCCGCGGUAAUACGUAGGGUGCGAGCGUUAAUCGGAAUUACUGGGCGUAAAGCGUGCGCAGGCGGUUCGUUAAGUCAGAUGUGAAAUCCCUGGGCUCAACCUAGGAAUUGCGUUUGAGACUGAAGAACUAGAGUACAGGAGAGGGAAGUGGAAUUUCCGGUGUAGCGGUGAAAUGCGUAGAUAUCGGAAGGAACAUCAGUGGCGAAGGCGACUUCCUGGACUGUUACUGACACUGAGGCACGAAAGCUAGGGGAGCAAACAGGAUUAGAUACCCUGGUAGUCC